AGCGGCGGACGGGUGGGUAACGCGUGGGUAACCUGCCUCAUACAGGGGGAUAACAGUUGGAAACGGCUGCUAAUACCGCAUAAGCGCACAGUACCGCAUGGUACGGUGUGAAAAACUCCGGUGGUAUGAGAUGGACCCGCGUCUGAUUAGGUAGUUGGUGGGGUAACGGCCUACCAAGCCGACGAUCAGUAGCCGACCUGAGAGGGUGACCGGCCACAUUGGGACUGAGACACGGCCCAG
Molecule: ribosomal RNA, 240 nt
Filed under: uncultured bacterium
Lineage: Bacteria
Description: partial 16S ribosomal RNA
Rfam family: Bacterial small subunit ribosomal RNA
Source: RNAcentral